Molecule: long non-coding RNA, 894 nt
Organism: Amphimedon queenslandica
Lineage: Eukaryota; Metazoa; Porifera; Demospongiae; Haplosclerida; Niphatidae
Exons: 5
Source: RefSeq, a predicted model, not a curated record
CUCAUCAGCAAUGAUACUGACAUAUUUCUGAAAUGGCUCUAAUGCUGAGAUGUUAUAAUCAUUCACUAGCUGUGUAUCUAAUUCUGUAGAGAAUCCAUUUGUGCUUUUAAAUGCAUACGUAUAAUCCCUAAGGGUACGCUGAGAGGGAAGAUGUAAGAUGCCAGUUUUUUGAAGCAAGUCAUGCUUUAGAGGAUUUGUGCCUCAAAAAGAUACACCACUUUACAAUUGCAGGAUUCCAGCGAAAUUGUGUAGAGCACAUUUUCGAUGCUGCUUUAUAUUGAUUCUCCCAGAAUAUUCUGCGAAGCUACCUUCUGGAUGGUUAUUCAGAAUGUCUUGAUGGUGUUCAUGCAUUAUUGAUAAGAGGCUGCUGUGAAGAUUUUCAUUCAAAGUGAUUGAGCGAUUUGAGUUGGUGGAUUUUUUUGAGCAUCAAUGGUUUAGUUAUAUGUCGAUGAUUUGUUUUGAAACCUAUUUAUCUGUUUGGAGUGGUCGUUUAGAUGCUAUUGCAAGUAACUUUCUUCGGAAGGGAAUAUUUUGAAGAAUUGCAACAACCUGACCUGAGUUAAUUGAAGCUAUUGGCUUUUCUGCCAUUUGCUAAUUGUAAAAGAGACGAAUCAGAAUUGCCGGGGCAUACUUUCAGUGCUGCUAGAUAUGUGAGCAAGGUGAUUAGGUUAGGUUUGGAUAGACUGUGACUGUGAAUAAUAUCUGUGGAUGUGAAUUAUACUGCCGUAUAUAACACAACAUCAUAAUGUCAUGAGAAUUUUGAACUAUUAACCACCCAUCUGGUAAGAGAGAUUGUUGUGCAGCUAUUUUUUGUUGGACUGUACAUGAUGUAUGCUGUUUCACACUCGGUUUUGGACUGAUAAGUUUUGGAGCAGGGCUCUUUUGAGGUUGAUU